This 74-nucleotide transfer RNA is filed under the name Spirochaetales bacterium. RNAcentral's name for it is "tRNA-Met". It matches the Rfam family "tRNA". Rfam says of the family: Transfer RNA (tRNA) molecules are approximately 80 nucleotides in length. Lineage: Bacteria; Pseudomonadati; Spirochaetota; Spirochaetia; Spirochaetales. The record is from RNAcentral.
GGCGGAGUAGCUCAGCUGGUUAGAGCAUACGGCUCAUAUCCGUAGGGUCACUGGUUCGAUCCCGGUCUCCGCUA